Molecule: ribosomal RNA, 777 nt
Filed under: uncultured Neocallimastigales
Lineage: Eukaryota; Fungi; Neocallimastigomycota; Neocallimastigomycetes; Neocallimastigales
Description: partial large subunit ribosomal RNA
Rfam family: Eukaryotic large subunit ribosomal RNA
Source: RNAcentral
GUAGUCUCGCACAGAUGCAUAUCAAUAAGCGGAGGAAAAGAAACUAACAAGGAUUCCCCUAGUAACGGCGAGUGAAGCGGGAAGAGCUCAAAUUUGAAAUCUUAAAGGGUUUCCCUUUACGAAUUGUAGUUUAAAGAAGUGUUUUCUGUUGAGGUUUUGGUAAAAGUUCUUUGGAAUAGGACAUCAUAGAGGGUGAGAAUCCCGUAUUUGACCUUUACUUUCAACUUUGUGACUACACUUUCAAAGAGUCGGAUUGUUUGGGAAUGCAGUCCAAAAUGGGUGGUAAAUUUCAUCUAAAGCUAAAUAUUGGCGAGAGACCGAUAGCGAACAAGUACCGUGAGGGAAAGAUGAAAAGAACUUUGAAAAGAGAGUUAAACAGUACGUGAAAUUGUCAAAAGGGAAGCGUUUGACACCAGUGUUGUUUUUCUGAAAAUCAAUUAAAGAACUGUUUAUGCUAAGCUGUUUAGACUUUAUCAGCUAUCUGUUUAGUUUUGAGCUUUUCUUUAAUGCACUUUUCAGUUAACAAGUCAACAUCAAUUUCUUUUGCUGUAAAAAAGCUUGAGGAAGGUGGCUUGAGAUUCGUCCUUAAGUGUUUAUAGCCUCUUGCCUAUGCAGUCGGAGAGAUUGAGGUCUGCAGCGUAGAUCCUUCGGGGCUAAAUGCAUUUGUGCUAAGUUAUAGCAUUUUCAUAGACAACUUGUUGACUAUGAUUUGUCUUGUAGCUUACUCGCUUAUGUUAUUUUACCUACGCUUAGGAUGUUGACGCGCGUGUGUGCGUG